This is a long non-coding RNA of Lolium perenne, 251 nucleotides long. RefSeq lists it as uncharacterized. The record is from RefSeq and is a predicted model, not a curated record. NCBI's taxonomy places the organism in Eukaryota, Viridiplantae, Streptophyta, Magnoliopsida, Poales, Poaceae.
UCGGAUAAGGAUAUUGAAGAUAUUCUAGAUAAAAGAGAGAAGACAACGACACAACCUAAAGCAAAAAUACAAAAAAUCGCUAAGGAUAGCAUUAAAUUUAGUUGGAACAAGCAUAAUUGUUAUUGGGAUGAACAUCGCAGCAUGUCAGAGAAGAAAGUAAAAAAUAAGAAAGAUACCAUUGAGGGGGAAGCCGAAGAUCAGCGGGAUCCUUUGAUGCCCGAGGAGACAGAAUGGAAGGGACGUAGCCCAUG